RNAcentral lists this long non-coding RNA (212 nucleotides) under Hordeum vulgare. Its description in RNAcentral is "long non-coding RNA (HVUL_LNC015510)". Lineage: Eukaryota; Viridiplantae; Streptophyta; Magnoliopsida; Poales; Poaceae. The record is from RNAcentral.
CAAAAAGGCAUUCUUAGACAAUUUAGCCCGAAGAAGGGGACAAGAAUAGAAAAAGAGGAAAAUGAAAGCAAGGAAGAGGAAAAAGGAGAAGAAGAAGGAGGAGAGGAAGGAGGGGAAGAAAAAGGGGACAAAAGGAUAAGAAGAAGAAGGAGAAGAAGGAGAAGAAGAAGGAGAAGAAGAAGGAGAAGAAGAAGGAGAAGGAGCUCCCGCUC